This 218-nucleotide long non-coding RNA is filed under the name Elaeis guineensis (African oil palm). Its description in RNAcentral is "long non-coding RNA (EGUI_LNC046017)". Lineage: Eukaryota; Viridiplantae; Streptophyta; Magnoliopsida; Arecales; Arecaceae. The record is from RNAcentral.
AACCUUUCAAAUCUAUCUGAUGGAUUAUCCUGGCCAAGGCUUAGCUAAAUUGAAAUACAGUGAUACAUCAUCUUCAAUAAUUUGGAUGCCAUCUUGAUCCACAUACAGACUUCGUAAGUAUUUGACUGUAUCUAGUAGUUUUCCAUCACUGUAUUAGAAAUCCAAAUAGUCUGACAUCAAAAUACAGUGAGUUGCUUGCAAAUCACUAUAGUGAUCUC